UACGGAGGGGGCGAGCGUUGUCCGAAGUUACUGGGCGUAAAGCGCGCGUAGGCGGGUUGGUAAGUCCGCUGUGAAAGCCCGGAGCUCAACUCCGGAGGGUCGGUGGAUACUGCCAGUCUUGAAGGUGCUAGGGGGAGAUGGAAUUACCGGUGUAGCGGUGAAAUGCGUAGAGAUCGGUAGGAACACCAGUGGCGAAGGCGGUCUCCUGGGGCAUUCUUGACGCUGAGGCGCGAAAGCUGGGGGGAGCGAACAGG
This 254-nucleotide ribosomal RNA is filed under the name uncultured bacterium. RNAcentral's name for it is "partial 16S ribosomal RNA". It matches the Rfam family "Bacterial small subunit ribosomal RNA", at positions 524 to 776 of the family's 1533-position model. The record is from RNAcentral.